RNAcentral lists this long non-coding RNA (2005 nucleotides) under Carica papaya (papaya). Its description in RNAcentral is "long non-coding RNA (CPAP_LNC000045)". The record is from RNAcentral. Lineage: Eukaryota; Viridiplantae; Streptophyta; Magnoliopsida; Brassicales; Caricaceae.
AAAGAGAGAGGGAGGAGGAAACACGGAGAGAGUGGCAGAGAGGAAGAGAAGGAGGAAGGGAAGCAGAACCGAGAAGCGAGGCUGACAGAAGAAGAAAAAGGGGGGGGGGGGGGUUGAUUUCUGUGAAGGCUAGGCAGAAAGUAUAACCGAAUCGUCCAACGGAAGGUAAGAUCAAUUUGAUCUUUGAAACCCGAAUAUGAAAUGUGUGCGUUUAAAUUCAUGCAUUAUGAAAAUUAUGAUUAAAUUUUAAUUCUAUGAUAGAAUAAUGUAUGUGAACAUUCUUUGAAUAUUGAAGUUCUUUUAAGACGGAAUGAUGGAAUUAAGAGAAUGGGUGUUGUAAAAUCAUUGAGAGACACGAUAGAUCUUAGGUGAUCGGGUAUUGUUGCAGAAGGGUAAACCGAUAUGAAUUAAAGGGCUAAUGGGGUUUCAGUAAGAAGAAAUAUGUUGCUCUCCUAAAUGAGCUAAACAGAUCCGCGAAACCGAGUGUAGGGAAAAAGGGACUAGUUGAAUUUCGGAUAGAACUGUGGAAGGAUUUUCAGGAGAUAAUACCUGAUUGGUUGAACACUCUAUUGAGUGGAUGUUAGGAGUACAAGAUUUCAAGAAAUGCAGAUAUGCGAGAUGGGAGUGAGAUACUUGUUAUAUAAAACUCAAAUUUUGAGGCUAGGGGAGAAUAUACCGGAGGAGAUGGUGAGCUGAUGUAGAAUAUGAUAAUGUCGUCGUGGGGAGGAACGGUGUAGAAGUUUUGAGUUGUAGCUAUACCAACGGUACAACAGUAUGUGAAUUGGAAGUAAAAAUGUGAGAAGGGAACAGAAGAAUAAGAACAAAAGUAAGUUUGGUGUGAGUGCAGGGAAAAUGAGAGAGAAUGACAAGAGAUGGAACAAAGGGAAAAAGGUGUGACAGGAGCAGGGAAAUGAGUUGGUAAGAUUGAGAAGGGAGUUGUUUACAACCCGAGAGAGGUAGUGAAAUUAGGAAAAUGAAACAAGGAGCAGAUUCUGCACUUGAACGGCUGCUGGUAAAAGCAUGAAUGGGAGAGGGAACAGCAUAGUCGGAAACCAUAGAAUGUGCGAGUGUGUGGCCAGGUUUGGCCGAGAGGCACUCUGUUGGGGUAUAUGUACAUAUAUAGAGAAAUAUUUUGCUAAUGGUGGGUAAAAACUAAUAUAAUCUUCACUAAGCAUUAUCUUCCAAACAUUAAACACUUCUAUUUUAAGUAAGAUAUAUGAAUUAGUUGAAGCAUGCAUAUAUGCUUUGCAAUAAAUGAUCUAAAUAAUGGGUUGUAUAUAUAAUUUUUUUUACUCGUAAUACCUGGGUGUUGCGUAUUUUAUAUACAUAUACAUAUAUAUAUAUAUAUAUGUAUGUAUGUACUCAGGAAUAGGAAUUGCUGGAUAGCCUACAAUGAAGAAUUGAUUACUACAAGAAGAAUGGAAAGUGUGAAGCAGCAUGUAAUAAAGAACCUUUCUUACACCCAACCACCGUCUUCCUCAUCAGUCUAAAAUAAUUUUGACUUUUUAGUAAAAAUUUAUACUUAACGUAUAUGUAAAUAUAUAUAUAUAUAUAUAUAUGCACUCCAUGUUGGAACAUUAUCUUAAUUUGUAGAGGAAGAAAACACACAGCAGAGCUGAAAUAUAAGCUCCCCUUGAAUGUAUUUUCUUGAGGAACCAAGAGUGUGGCUGUUUGGGUUGGGCAAGAUCUUUUCCCAGCAUUGCUAAAAAGCCAGGGUGUCGUCGGUGACACCAUCGCCAACUGCCUCAAAUGAUUUCACAUAAAAAAAAAAAUUCCUCCAUGGCCUGGUAAGAAGGAGAUUGAGAAGAAGCCAUUUCAAUUCCAAAACAAAAUCAAUGGUGAUGAUGAAGAAGGAACAUAACCCGUAAAGAACUGAGGUUUUUACUUAAUUUUUAAAGAACAGCACAGGAGAAGAUGAAUGUUGAAAUGGGUUUUAGUUGAUAUAUGUGUCUACAUAUAUUUACAUUCUUUCAGAUCAUCCAUAUAUAUAUAUUCUCUCUUUUAC